Molecule: ribosomal RNA, 468 nt
Filed under: uncultured bacterium
Lineage: Bacteria
Description: partial 16S ribosomal RNA
Rfam family: Bacterial small subunit ribosomal RNA
Source: RNAcentral
GAUGAACGCUGGCGGCGUGCCUAAUACAUGCAAGUCGAACGGAAAGGCCCUGCGCUUGUGCGUCGCUCGUGUGCCGAACACGUGAGUAUCACGCGAGUAACCCGUCCCUGUCUUUCUGAGAUCUUUAGGGAACUGGGGCGCUAACCCGGUAGGAUCUCUUGCUGCAUGUGGGGCGUUGGUAAGAGUCGGCGGUUGGGGAUGGACUCGCGGCUUAUCAGCUUGUUGGUGGGGUAGUGGCGUACCAAGGCUUUGACGGGUAGCCGGCCUGAGAGGGUGACCGGCCACAUUGGGACUGAGAUACGGCCCAGACUCCUACGGGAGGCAGCAGUGGGGAAUAUUGCACAAUGGGCGGAAGCCUGAUGCAGCAACGCCGCGUGCGGGAUGACGGCCUUCGGGUUGUAAACCGCUUUCGCCUGUGACGAAGCGUGAGUGACGGUAAUGGGUAAAGAAGCACCGGCUAACUACGUG